This 254-nucleotide ribosomal RNA is filed under the name uncultured bacterium. RNAcentral describes it as "partial 16S ribosomal RNA". It matches the Rfam family "Bacterial small subunit ribosomal RNA", at positions 524 to 776 of the family's 1533-position model. The record is from RNAcentral.
GACAUAGGUGGCGAACGUUAUCCGGAAUUAUUGGGCGUAAAGAGUGCGUAGGUGGUUCAAUAAGUUACUGGUGGGAAAUCGGGGCUCAACCCCGUGGAAGUUAGUAAUACUAUUAAACUAGAGGGUCGGAGAGGUUAACGGAAUUCUAUGUGUAGCGGUAAAAUGCUUAAAUAUAUAGAGGAACACCAAACGGCGAAGGCAGUUAACUAUUCGAUUCCUGACGUUGAGGCACGAAAGCGUGGGGAGCAAGACGG